This 276-nucleotide ribosomal RNA is filed under the name uncultured bacterium. Its description in RNAcentral is "partial 16S ribosomal RNA". It matches the Rfam family "Bacterial small subunit ribosomal RNA", at positions 30 to 306 of the family's 1533-position model. The record is from RNAcentral.
AUUGAACGCUGGCGGCAUGCCUUACACAUGCAAGUCGAACGGCAGCACGGGAGCAAUCCUGGUGGCGAGUGGCGAACGGGUGAGUAAUAUAUCGGAACGUGCCCAGUCGUGGGGAUAACGUAGCGAAAGCUACGCUAAUACCGCAUACUAUCUAUGGAUGAAAGCGGGGGAUCGCAAGACCUCGCGCGAUUGGAGCGGCCGAUAUCAGAUUAGGUAGUUGGUGAGGUAAGGCUCGACCAAGCCCGACGAUCUGUAGCUGGUCUGAGAGGACGACCA